This 66-nucleotide transfer RNA is filed under the name Heptagenia sulphurea. RNAcentral describes it as "tRNA-Leu". Lineage: Eukaryota; Metazoa; Arthropoda; Insecta; Ephemeroptera; Heptageniidae. RNAcentral also lists the same sequence under 3 other names. The record is from RNAcentral.
UCUAAUGUGGCAGAUAAGUGCAAUGGAUUUAAGCUCCAUACAUAGAGGUGUGUCCUCUCAUUAGAA